Molecule: ribosomal RNA, 242 nt
Filed under: uncultured bacterium
Lineage: Bacteria
Description: partial 16S ribosomal RNA
Rfam family: Bacterial small subunit ribosomal RNA
Source: RNAcentral
CCGACCGGCGCACGGUGAGUAACGCGUAUGCAACUUACCUAUCAGAGGGGAUAACCCGGCGAAAGUCGGACUAAUACCGCAUGAAGCAGGGGCCCCGCAUGGGGAUAUUUGCUAAAGAUUCAUCGCUGAUAGAUAGGCAUGCGUUCCAUUAGGCAGUUGGCGGGGUAACGGCCCACCAAACCGACGAUGGAUAGGGGUUCUGAGAGGAAGGUCCCCCACAUUGGUACUGAGACACGGACCAA